ACAAGCAGCGGAGCGUGUGGUUUAAUUCGAUGCAACACGAAGAACCUUACCAGGGCUUGACAUGUUAGAAGUAGGAACCCGAAAGGGGACGACCAGUAUCCAAUCUGGAGCUAACACAGGUGCUGCAUGGCUGUCGUCAGCUCGUGCCGUGAGGUGUAUGGUUAAGUCCCACAACGAGCGCAACCCUCGUCGCUAGUUAAUUUCCCUAGCGAGACCGCCUCGCAAAACGAGGAGGAAGGCGGGGAUGGCGUCAAGUCAGCAUGGCCUUUAUACCCUGGGCGACACACACGCUACAAUGGGUGGUACAGUAGGUAGCGAAGGAGCGAUCCGGAGCAAAUCCUUAAAACCAUCCUCAGUACGGAUUGCAGGCUGAAACCCGCCUGCAUGAAGCCGGAGUUGCUAGUAACCGCAUAUCAGCAUGGUGCGGUGAAUACGUUCUCGGGCCUU
Molecule: ribosomal RNA, 447 nt
Filed under: uncultured Chloroflexota bacterium
Lineage: Bacteria; Bacillati; Chloroflexota
Description: bacterial SSU rRNA
Rfam family: Bacterial small subunit ribosomal RNA
Source: RNAcentral